UACGUAGGGGGCUAGCGUUGUCCGGAAUCAUUGGGCGUAAAGCGCGUGUAGGCGGUUCGGUAAGUCCGCUGUGAAAGUCGGGGGCUCAACCCUCGAAUGCCGGUGGAUACUGUCGGACUAGAGUACGGAAGAGGCGAGUGGAAUUCCUGGUGUAGCGGUGAAAUGCGCAGAUAUCAGGAGGAACACCAAUUGCGAAGGCAGCUCGCUGGGACGGUACUGACGCUGAGACGCGAAAGCGUGGGGAGCGAACAGG
This 253-nucleotide ribosomal RNA is filed under the name uncultured bacterium. RNAcentral describes it as "partial 16S ribosomal RNA". It matches the Rfam family "Bacterial small subunit ribosomal RNA", at positions 524 to 776 of the family's 1533-position model. The record is from RNAcentral.